RNAcentral lists this ribosomal RNA (245 nucleotides) under uncultured Prevotella sp. RNAcentral describes it as "partial 16S ribosomal RNA". It matches the Rfam family "Bacterial small subunit ribosomal RNA", at positions 524 to 769 of the family's 1533-position model. The record is from RNAcentral. Lineage: Bacteria; Pseudomonadati; Bacteroidota; Bacteroidia; Bacteroidales; Prevotellaceae.
UACGGAAGGUCCGGGCGUUAUCCGGAUUUAUUGGGUUUAAAGGGAGCGUAGGCGGGUGGCUAAGCGUGCUGUGAAAUCCGGCGGCUCAACCGUCGCGAGCAGCGCGAACUGGCCGUCUUGAGUGCGCGGGAGGCAGGCGGAAUUCGUGGUGUAGCGGUGAAAUGCUUAGAUAUCACGAAGAACCCCGAUUGCGAAGGCAGCCUGCCGUAGCGUUACUGACGCUGAAGCUCGAAGGUGCGGGUAUC